RNAcentral lists this ribosomal RNA (521 nucleotides) under uncultured bacterium. RNAcentral describes it as "bacterial SSU rRNA". It matches the Rfam family "Bacterial small subunit ribosomal RNA", at positions 8 to 518 of the family's 1533-position model. The record is from RNAcentral.
AGGGUUCGAUUCUGGCUCAGGAUGAACGCUAGCGAUAGGCCUAACACAUGCAAGUCGAGGGGCAUCACAUGAAGUAGCAAUACGGAUGGUGGCGACCGGCGCACGGGUGAGUAACACGUAUGCAACCUGCCUUCAACAAGGGGAUAACCCGUUGAAAGACGGACUAAUACCCUAUAACACAGGGGCCCCGCAUGGGGAUAUUUGUUAAAGAUUAAUCGGUUGAAGAUGGGCAUGCGUUCCAUUAGCUAGUUGGUGGGGUAAUGGCCCACCAAGGCAACGAUGGAUAGGGGAACUGAGAGGUUUAUCCCCCACACUGGUACUGAGACACGGACCAGACUCCUACGGGAGGCAGCAGUGAGGAAUAUUGGUCAAUGGACGCAAGUCUGAACCAGCCACGUCCGCGUGAAGGAAGACGGCCCUACGGGUUGUAAACUUCUUUGCAAGGGAAUAAAGUGAGUCACGUGUGUACUUUUGCAAGUACCUUGCGAAUAAGGAUCGGCUAACUCCGUGCCAGCCGCAGC